RNAcentral lists this ribosomal RNA (406 nucleotides) under uncultured bacterium. Its description in RNAcentral is "partial 16S ribosomal RNA". It matches the Rfam family "Bacterial small subunit ribosomal RNA", at positions 29 to 526 of the family's 1533-position model. The record is from RNAcentral.
AUUGAACGCUGGCGGCAGGCCUAACACAUGCAAGUCGAGCGAGUGGCGGACGGGUGAGUAAUGUCUGGGAAACUGCCUGAUGGAGGGGGAUAACUACUGGAAACGGUAGCUAAUACCGCAUACCAUCAGAUGUGCCCAGGUGGGAUAAGCUAGUAGGUGGGGUAACGGCUCACCUAGGGGACGAUCCCUAGCUGGUCUGAGAGGAUGACCAGCAACACUGGAACGGAGACACGGCCCAGACUCCUACGGGAGGCAGCAGUGGGGAAUAUUGCACAAUGGGCGCAAGCCUGAUGAAGCCAGGCCGCGUGUGUGAAGAGGGCCUUCGGGUUGUAAGGCACUUUCAGCGGGGAGGCGUUACCCGCAGAAGAAGCACCGGCUAACUCCGUGCCAGCAGCCGCGGUAAUAC